UCCUACGGGCGGCUGCAGUGGGGAAUAUUGGACAAUGGGGGCAACCCUGAUCCAGCCAUGCCGCGUGAGUGAUGAAGGCCCUAGGGUUGUAAAGCUCUUUCGGUGGGGAAGAUAAUGACGGUACCCACAGAAGAAGCCCCGGCUAACUUCGUGCCAGCAGCCGCGGUAAUACGAAGGGGGCUAGCGUUGCUCGGAAUCACUGGGCGUAAAGCGCACGUAGGCGGCUUUCUAAGUCAGGGGUGAAAUCCCGGAGCUCAACUCCGGAACUGCCUUUGAUACUGGGAGGCUCGAGUCCGGGAGAGGUGAGUGGAACUGCGAGUGUAGAGGUGAAAUUCGUAGAUAUUCGCAAGAACACCAGUGGCGAAGGCGGCUCACUGGCCCGGUACUGACGCUGAGGUGCGAAAGCGUGGGGAGCAAACAGGAUUAGAUACCCUUGUAGUCCUG
Molecule: ribosomal RNA, 444 nt
Filed under: uncultured bacterium
Lineage: Bacteria
Description: bacterial SSU rRNA
Rfam family: Bacterial small subunit ribosomal RNA
Source: RNAcentral